Molecule: ribosomal RNA, 111 nt
Filed under: Caerostris extrusa
Lineage: Eukaryota; Metazoa; Arthropoda; Arachnida; Araneae; Araneidae
Source: RNAcentral
AUGGUCAUACCAUGCUGAAUAUACCGGUUCUCGUUAGAUCACCGAAGUCAAGCAUCAUUGGGCGCGGUCAGUACUUGGGUGGGUGACCACCUGGGAACACCGCGUGCCGUU